AUCAAAGCCGAUUUACGUUUGAACCUGUUUUCGCCAAAACAGUUAGAGCUAUAAAUCGGUUGUUUGUCGACUUCAUCUUAGUUCGAGUCUUGCUUUGCUCAUGGCACGAAGAUCGAGGAAUUAUGUCAAAGAGUUAAUUCCGCAUGAAGACCUAAUUCCGCAUGAAGAUGACAAAUGUAAUUCCGUACGGAAUUACUUAAUUCCGUGUGAGUAAUGAUUUCGCAUGUAAGUAAUUCCGUAUGAAGCAUGUUUCAUGCGGAAUUACCAUAGAUUUUCCGAUGGCGAAGCUCUGUCGAAGUGUCGUCUUGCUGUAA
RNAcentral lists this long non-coding RNA (314 nucleotides) under Helianthus annuus (common sunflower). RNAcentral describes it as "sRNA HanXRQr2_Chr13g0573481". The record is from RNAcentral. Lineage: Eukaryota; Viridiplantae; Streptophyta; Magnoliopsida; Asterales; Asteraceae.